Long non-coding RNA from Felis catus (domestic cat), 614 nucleotides. RefSeq lists it as uncharacterized. NCBI's taxonomy places the organism in Eukaryota, Metazoa, Chordata, Mammalia, Carnivora, Felidae. The record is from RefSeq and is a predicted model, not a curated record. The transcript is spliced from 2 exons.
CCCCGAGGUCGGCUCCCGCCUCGGGAAGAGAACACACGUCAGUACUACCGUCAACAGAAAUCCGAAAGGCGGGGCAACGGCGGCGGGCGCCCCGGGAAGGGAGCCUGAAAAUGCAUCCAGAAAGGUCCAACCUGGAAAAUCGUGGAUAUUCCUCAAAUCUGGCAGACUUGGUCCUGAAUGACAGCACACUUCCUCUACCCCAUGGCAUCCAACCCAAAAAGCAGGCAGGGGCAACUGGGGUGGAGUGAUGGGCCGGAGAAUGAAAGGAAGCACAGUUUCCAAAAGCAAAGUGCUACAGGUGGAAAGCAUGCCUGGAAGAUAAAGCCACAGAACCCAUGAAAAUCGGAGCCAGGGCACCUCAUAUGGAUAAGAAUUUUCCUGCAGCAAUCUUACCCCUAAUGUCAAGGACACUUGAGACAGUCCGAUUCUUUGCUUUGUUCCCCUUAACAUUAAAUCAUGAGCCUUUUCCAUGUUUUGAAAUGUCCACGAAACAUACAUUUUAAGAGCUGCCUAAUAUUCCACUGGAAGGGUGUACAAUAAUUUAACAGUUUCCUUACUGUGUGGCAUUUAGGAUGUUGCCAUAUUGUCAGUGUAAUAAACCCUAUUCCAUCAAA